AAUAGAUACCCGGGUAGUCCACGCCGUAAACGAUGAGUGCUAAGUGUUGGAGGGUUUCCGCCUUUCAGUGCUGCAGCUAACGCAUUAAGCACUCCGCCUGGGGAGUACGGUCGCAAGACUGAAACUCAAAGGAAUUGACGGGGGCCCGCACAAGCGGUGGAGCAUGUGGUUUAAUUCGAAGCAACGCGAAGAACCUUACCAGGUCUUGACAUCUCCUGACCGCCCUGGAGACAGGGUCUUCCCUUCGGGGACAGGAUGACAGGUGGUGCAUGGUUGUCGUCAGCUCGUAUCGUGAGAUGUUGGGUUAAGUCCCGCAACGAGCGCAACCCUUGGUUCUAGUUGCCAGCAUUCAGUUGGGCACUCUAGAGCGACUGCCGGCGACAAGCCGGAGGAAGGUGGGGAUGACGUCAAAUCAUCAUGCCCCUUAUGACCUGGGCUACACACGUGCUACAAUGGAUGGUACAAAGGGCAGCGAAGCGGCGACGCAUAAGCGAAUCCCAGAAAACCAUUCUCAGUUCGGAUUGC
Molecule: ribosomal RNA, 525 nt
Filed under: uncultured bacterium
Lineage: Bacteria
Description: bacterial SSU rRNA
Rfam family: Bacterial small subunit ribosomal RNA
Source: RNAcentral